UUGUGGUUGGGACAUUGCAUAAGUUUUCCAUUAAAUCUCUCCCACACCUCAUAUAGAGGCUCUCUAUUCAAUUGACAAAAGUUUGUGAUUUUAUCACUCAAUUA
Non-coding RNA from Capsicum annuum, 104 nucleotides. The record is from Rfam. Lineage: Eukaryota; Viridiplantae; Streptophyta; Magnoliopsida; Solanales; Solanaceae.